UCGAGCGGUAGAGAGAAGCUUGCUUCUCUUGAGAGCGGCGGACGGGUGAGUAAUGCCUAGGAAUCUGCCUGGUAGUGGGGGAUAACGUCCGGAAACGGACGCUAAUACCGCAUACGUCCUACGGGAGAAAGCAGGGGACCUUCGGGCCUUGCGCUAUCAGAUGAGCCUAGGUCGGAUUAGCUAGUUGGUGGGGUAAUGGCUCACCAAGGCGACGAUCCGUAACUGGUCUGAGAGGAUGAUCAGUCACACUGGAACUGAGACACGGUCCAGACUCCUACGGGAGGCAGCAGUGGGGAAUAUUGGACAAUGGGCGAAAGCCUGAUCCAGCCAUGCCGCGUGUGUGAAGAAGGUCUUCGGAUUGUAAAGCACUUUAAGUUGGGAGGAAGGGCAGUAAAUUAAUACUUUGCUGUUUUGACGUUACCGACAGAAUAAGCACCGGCUAACUCUGUGCCAGCAGCCGCGGUAAU
This 467-nucleotide ribosomal RNA is filed under the name uncultured bacterium. Its description in RNAcentral is "bacterial SSU rRNA". It matches the Rfam family "Bacterial small subunit ribosomal RNA", at positions 62 to 524 of the family's 1533-position model. The record is from RNAcentral.